This 253-nucleotide ribosomal RNA is filed under the name uncultured bacterium. Its description in RNAcentral is "partial 16S ribosomal RNA". It matches the Rfam family "Bacterial small subunit ribosomal RNA", at positions 524 to 776 of the family's 1533-position model. The record is from RNAcentral.
UACGUAGGGUGCAAGCGUUGUCCGGAAUUAUUGGGCGUAAAGAGCUCGUAGGCGGUUUGUCACGUCGGCUGUGAAAACCCGAGGCUCAACCUCGGGCCUGCAGUCGAUACGGGCAGACUAGAGUAUGGCAGGGGAGACUGGAAUUCCUGGUGUAGCGGUGAAAUGCGCAGAUAUCAGGAGGAACACCGGUGGCGAAGGCGGCGUCCUGGACCAACACUGACACUGAUGAGCGAAAGCCGGGGGAGCAAACGGG